GGAAAGGCGCGCGAUACAGGGUGACAGCCCCGUACACAAAAAUGCACAUGCUGUGAGCUCGAUGAGUAGGGCGGGACACGUGGUAUCCUGUCUGAAUAUGGGGGGACCAUCCUCCAAGGCUAAAUACUCCUGACUGACCGAUAGUGAACCAGUACCGUGAGGGAAAGGCGAAAAGAACCCCGGCGAGGGGAGUGAAAAAGAACCUGAAACCGUGUACGUACAAGCAGUGGGAGCACGCUUAGGCGUGUGACUGCGUACCUUUUGUAUAAUGGGUCAGCGACUUAUAUUCUGUAGCAAGGUUAACCGAAUAGGGGAGCCGAAGGGAAACCGAGUCUUAACUGGGCGUUAAGUUGCAGGGUAUAGACCCGAAACCCGGUGAUCUAGCCAUGGGCAGGUUGAAGGUUGGGUAACACUAACUGGAGGACCGAACCGACUAAUGUUGAAAAAUUAGCGGAUGACUUGUGGCUGGGGGUGAAAGGCCAAUCAAACCGGGAGAUAGCUGGUUCUCCCCGAAAGCUAUUUAGGUAGCGCCUCGUGAAUUCAUCUCCGGGGGUAGAGCACUGUUUCGGCAAGGGGGUCAUCCCGACUUACCAACCCGAUGCAAACUGC
This 609-nucleotide ribosomal RNA is filed under the name Escherichia coli. RNAcentral's name for it is "partial 23S ribosomal RNA". It matches the Rfam family "Bacterial large subunit ribosomal RNA", at positions 344 to 957 of the family's 2925-position model. The record is from RNAcentral. Lineage: Bacteria; Pseudomonadati; Pseudomonadota; Gammaproteobacteria; Enterobacterales; Enterobacteriaceae.